UACGUAGGGUCCAAGCGUUAUCCGGAAUCACUGGGCGUAAAGCGUGCGUAGGUGGCGCGUUAAGUGAGAUGUUAAAUCGUGUGGCUCAACCAUAUCGAUGCAUCUCAUACUGGCGUGCUAGAGGACAGCAGAGGCAAGUGGAACUUGUAGUGUAGCAGUGAAAUGCGUAGAUAUUACAAAGAACACCAAUGGCGAAGGCAGCUUGCUGGGCUACUCCUGACACUGAGGUACGAAAGCGUGGGGAGCGAACAG
Molecule: ribosomal RNA, 252 nt
Filed under: uncultured bacterium
Lineage: Bacteria
Description: partial 16S ribosomal RNA
Rfam family: Bacterial small subunit ribosomal RNA
Source: RNAcentral